AAGUGAAAGAAGGGCAUUCGGUGGAUGCCUUGGCGCUGAGAGGCGAUGAAGGACGUGGUACGCUGCGAUAAGUUACGGGGAGCCGCGAACAGGCUUUGAUCCGUAAAUUUCCGAAUGGGGGAACCCACUCCGCAAGGAGUAUCGUGCACUGAAUACAUAGGUGUACGAGGCAAACCCGGGGAACUGAAACAUCUAAGUACCCGGAGGAAAGGACAUCAACAGAGACUCCGCUAGUAGUGGCGAGCGAACGCGGACCAGGCCAGUGGCUUUUGUGAGAUAAGUGGAACCUUCUGGAAAGUUGGGCCAUAGUGGGUGAUAGCCCCGUACACGUAAUGCGAACAAAAGUCCUAGAGUAAGGCGGGACACGUGAAAUCCUGUCUGAACAUGGGGAGACCACUCUCCAAGCCUAAGUACUCGUGCAUGACCGAUAGCGAACUAGUACCGUGAGGGAAAGGUGAAAAGCACCCCGACAAGGGGAGUGAAAGAGUACCUGAAACCGAUUGCCUACAAACAGUGGGAGCCCGCAAGGGUGACCACGUACCUUUUGUAUAAUGGGUCAGCGACUUAGUGUGACGAGCAAGCUUAAACCGAUAGGUGUAGGCGCAGCGAAAGCGAGUCUGAACAGGGCGUUCAGUUCGUCGCAUUAGACCCGAAACCGAGUGAUCUAGCCAUGAGCAGGUUGAAGGUAAGGUAACACUUACUGGAGGACCGAACCCAUAACUGUUGCAAUAGUUCGGGAUGACUUGUGGCUAGGGGUGAAAGGCCAAUCAAACUCGGAAAUAGCUGGUUCUCCGCGAAAGCUAUUUAGGUAGCGCCUCG
RNAcentral lists this ribosomal RNA (819 nucleotides) under Gloeochaete wittrockiana. RNAcentral's name for it is "partial Bacterial large subunit ribosomal RNA". It matches the Rfam family "Bacterial large subunit ribosomal RNA", at positions 1 to 884 of the family's 2925-position model. Lineage: Eukaryota; Glaucocystophyceae; Gloeochaetales; Gloeochaetaceae. The record is from RNAcentral.